This 253-nucleotide ribosomal RNA is filed under the name uncultured bacterium. Its description in RNAcentral is "partial 16S ribosomal RNA". It matches the Rfam family "Bacterial small subunit ribosomal RNA", at positions 524 to 776 of the family's 1533-position model. The record is from RNAcentral.
GACGUAGGGCGCGAGCGUUGUCCGGAUUUAUUGGGCGUAAAGAGCUCGUAGGCGGCUUGUUGCGUCGAUCGUGAAAACUUGUGGCUCAACCAUGAGCUGGCGGUCGAUACGGGCGGGCUGGAGUUCGGUAGGGGAGACUGGAAUUCCUGGUGUAGCGGUGAAAUGCGCAGAUAUCAGGAGGAACACCGGUGGCGAAGGCGGGUCUCUGGGCCGAUACUGACGCUGAGGAGCGAAAGCGUGGGGAGCGAACAGG